Molecule: unclassified non-coding RNA, 231 nt
Filed under: Hevea brasiliensis (rubber tree)
Lineage: Eukaryota; Viridiplantae; Streptophyta; Magnoliopsida; Malpighiales; Euphorbiaceae
Source: RNAcentral
AGUGAUCAAUUAAUCCUAAUUCUAUUAGGAUUUGAAGUCGUAUCCUUCUACAAGAUAAUUCAGGCGAAAUUACCCUUCUUUCACAGUCUUGGAUGCAACUACGCUCGAUGUCCAGAACUCUUGCUUGGUGCCAAGGGCUCGUGUCCGGCAACUGAGGCUUUCUCCUAUCCUGUCAUCACUUCUGAUGUGCAAUGAAGUAUCUCAUGGAGGUACUUGAAAAGUGGACCAGGA